RNAcentral lists this long non-coding RNA (1659 nucleotides) under Sparus aurata (gilthead seabream). RNAcentral describes it as "lncRNA (ENSSAUG00010023792.1)". The record is from RNAcentral. Lineage: Eukaryota; Metazoa; Chordata; Actinopteri; Spariformes; Sparidae.
AUGGAGGAGGAGGCAGACAAUAGCGAGGGAGAGACAAGGCCCAAGGGAAAAGAAACGAAGGAGCCUGAGAGAGAUGUGUACAGCUUCCCUGGAGACUCAGACCCCGAGAGUCCCCCUCCUGCCCCCUGGGCCCAUUGCACAUUCAUUCAGCGGUGCAGAAAGAAGAGGGUGCUGCUCAGGCCCUUCUCUGGACUUGGCACCUUAAAGCGCACAUCGCCUGAGACUGGCAAGCGGUCAAGAGCGAGUCCUCAAAAAUCUAAACCUGCUGAGCCUGCACAGCUGAAUCGGGGUGGAGGGGUUUACGAUUUUGAAGAAGUUGACUUUGGAGAGGGAGCGGUGGAAGAACCGAUCAAGAUCAGAGACAGAGGAGGGAAAAUAGACAAAGAGGAAGAAAGCGAGGUAGCGCCAGAUAAAGAAAUCUUCACCUGUGUGGAAUGUAGCAUUUACUUCAAAAAGCAGGUCCACUUGCAGGAGCACAUAGUCGAGCACUGUCAGAGUGGCGCGGGGGGCGGCAGGCGGUUAGGGAAAGGCGGCCGUUUUCGGUGUGUUGAGUGUGGAUGGAACCUGCCAAAUCGGCUUGCGCUGGCAGAUCACCACAGACGCCACCAGGAGUCCCGUCUAAAGAUCUUGGAGGAGAUUGAAAAACUGAAUGAAAAUGGGAAGGCAAGAGAGAUUCAGAAACUUGACAGCGAGGUGAAGAAGCAUUUAAGCCCCGACCCGACUAUUGUGCAAGAUGCAGCCUCGAAUCCAGGCAAAGAGUCAGACCCAGAAAUAGUCUCAUCUCCACCUCAUUCCCCAGCUACAAUUUCAACACCAGACACAGACGCAGCAGUUCUCAACUCUGACGUGACUCCACCAAAUUCAGUUCGAUCUCCAGCUCAGGGCCGAGCCGUUUCUGCGUACCGCCGCCGCUUUCUCUGCACCAAGUGUAACUUCAGCACAAGAACCCCCCAGGCACUGGCUAAUCACACCAAGACCCACAACAGGAAGAAACCUGCUCUCCAGGCCGACUCCCCAUCUCCUGGUUCACCAUCAUGUUUGGCAUCAACUUCCCUGGCCUGUGGACACUGUGCCUUCCUGACCUCAAGUCAAACUGUAAUGAGGGAACACCAGAAACUUGCUCACCCUGGACAGGCCCCAGUCAGUGGGGCGCAGGCUGAUGAGGCUGGCCAGCACUCGAGGUCCAGUGUUGGUACUCGAAUUUCAAAACCCACCCUGGAUUCUGAUCAUCUCUCCGGGUCUGGAUCUGGAUCCCUGCCCGACGCAACUCAAGGCAAAAGCCAGCAAGGAGUCACUGCCCCUGAGGACAGCACAACACCAGACAGCGCUGCAGCUCGGCCCACAGGACCGACGGUCUUCAAGUGUGCUGGGAACAGGAGAUUCAGCAGAAGGGGGAAGACUUGGACCGAUCUGGCCAAGUUUCAGCCCAGACUGGACGACGACAAGCUGCUUGGGAGUGAGGAAGACGAGCAGGAUGAAGAUCGGAGCGCAGAGCUGGACACCGAGGGUUCCGAGCCAAAGGCCGACUCACCUGUUGGAGUGAAACCGCACACGAGAGCACGAUCAAACACAGGUGAGACUCGACAUCGUGAUCCACGCGGUAACAUGAAUAUUCUUAGCAACCAGAUUAUUGUGAGUAAUCAAUUCAGAGUGUUUUGA